UACGUAGGGGGCAGGCGUUGUCCGGAUUCAUUGGGCGUAAAGAGCGUGUAGGCGGCCAGGUAGGUCGGUUGUGAAAACUGGAGGCUCAACCUUCAGAGGUCGACCGAAACCAUCUGGCUAGAGUCCGGGAGAGGAGAGUGGAAUUCCUGGUGUAGCGGUGAAAUGCGCAGAUAUCAGGAAGAACACCCGUGGCGAAGGCGGCUCUCUGGAACGCAACUGACGCUGAGACGCGAAAGCGUGGGGAGCAAACAGG
This 253-nucleotide ribosomal RNA is filed under the name uncultured bacterium. Its description in RNAcentral is "partial 16S ribosomal RNA". It matches the Rfam family "Bacterial small subunit ribosomal RNA", at positions 524 to 776 of the family's 1533-position model. The record is from RNAcentral.